GAUCAUGGCUCAGAUUGAACGCUGGCGGCAGGCCUAACACAUGCAAGUCGAGCGGUAGAGAGAAGCUUGCUUCUCUUGAGAGCGGCGGACGGGUGAGUAAUACCUAGGAAUCUGCCUGAUAGUGGGGGAUAACGUUCGGAAACGGACGCUAAUACCGCAUACGUCCUACGGGAGAAAGCAGGGGACCUUCGGGCCUUGCGCUAUCAGAUGAGCCUAGGUCGGAUUAGCUAGUUGGUGAGGUAAUGGUUCACCAAGGCUACGAUCCGUAACUGGUCUGAGAGGAUGAUCAGUCACACUGGAACUGAGACACGGUCCAGACUCCUACGGGAGGCAGCAGUGGGGAAUAUUGGACAAUGGGCGAAAGCCUGAUCCAGCCAUGCCGCGUGUGUGAAGAAGGUCUUCGGAUUGUAAAGCACUUUAAGUUGGGAGGAAGGGCAUUAACCUAAUACGUUGGUGUCUUGACGUUACCGACAGAAUAAGCACCGGCUAACUCUGUG
Molecule: ribosomal RNA, 497 nt
Filed under: uncultured bacterium
Lineage: Bacteria
Description: bacterial SSU rRNA
Rfam family: Bacterial small subunit ribosomal RNA
Source: RNAcentral